AGUGAACGCUGGCGGUAGGCCUAACACAUGCAAGUCGAACGGCAGCACAGUAAGAGCUUGCUCUUACGGGUGGCGAGUGGCGGACGGGUGAGGAAUACAUCGGAAUCUACUUUUUCGUGGGGGAUAACGUAGGGAAACUUACGCUAAUACCGCAUACGACCUACGGGUGAAAGCAGGGGAUCUUCGGACCUUGCGCGAUUGAAUGAGCCGAUGUCGGAUUAGCUAGUUGGCGGGGUAAAGGCCCACCAAGGCGACGAUCCGUAGCAGGUCUGAGAGGAUGAUCAGCCACACUGGAACUGAGACACGGUCCAGACUCCUACGGGAGGCAGCAGUGGGGAAUAUUGGACAAUGGGCGCAAGCCUGAUCCAGCCAUACUGCGUGGGUGAAGAAGGCCUUCGGGUUGUAAAGCCCUUUUGUUGGGAAAGAAAAGCAGCAGGUUAAUACCCCGCUGUUCUGACGGUACCCAAAGAAUAAGCACCGGCUAACUUCGUG
RNAcentral lists this ribosomal RNA (492 nucleotides) under uncultured bacterium. Its description in RNAcentral is "partial 16S ribosomal RNA". It matches the Rfam family "Bacterial small subunit ribosomal RNA", at positions 29 to 507 of the family's 1533-position model. The record is from RNAcentral.